Molecule: long non-coding RNA, 1984 nt
Filed under: Olea europaea (common olive)
Lineage: Eukaryota; Viridiplantae; Streptophyta; Magnoliopsida; Lamiales; Oleaceae
Description: long non-coding RNA (OEUR_LNC012253)
Source: RNAcentral
UCAGUUCUUCACUCCACAGCAAAAGUCUCAGGCUCUUGAAGGUCAGUUCACUUUCCCAAAACAAAUUAUUUUAAUUCAAGAUCAAUUUGGCGAUAUAGUUCUUUUAUUAUUUAUUUAUUCCUUAAAUUUUUUGCUCAAUCGAUCGCAUCUUCUUUUAUAGCAUAUUACAAUCAGUUCGUCUCAUGUAGAUACAAGAGAUGCAUCCAUAUAUGUUUGUGUGUAUUUAUAUACACGUAUGUACUCGUAUCGGUAUGUGCUGUUGUUGAAGUUUUAUAUUUUAUUUUUAUUUUACUGUCAUUUUGCAUGAAUCGUUUAUUAUAAUUUUGUCUUAAUUUUUAUGUUUUUUGUUAUUGUUUUUCUUUUCUGUGGACAGUUCAAAAUUUCGAUCCUGCUGUGCUGUCAGGGAGGGUUUGACCUUUUUUAUUCACAUGAGUCCCUAGGCCAACUCACUUGGGUCAACUAGAAUGUCAAAUUCUUCUAGAGCUUCAUUCUCAAAGUUUUGACACUUGAGACCAAUUGUAGACUUGUCGCUGCUGAAUCAUAUUUAAGAGUUUAAGUUUAAGAGCUUGUUUGGUGGAAAUUUUGGUAAUUGAUUUUUUGACCAUUAGAUAUAAAGUAGAUCCUAUCUUUGAGAUAAGAAUUCAAAAAUGACAAUUGGAAUAGUGAAAUAAUUGUCAAAAAAUUGAUUUUAAUUGAUUUAAAAUUCCUACCAAACAAGCGGUAAAUGUAGACAACUCUAUUUCUUGAAAGAAUUCUGACUUUUUCUAGAUAAAUAUUAGAUAUAGGCCAUUCUAUCCCAAUGAGAAUUGUCUGCCUUUAGAUUAAAGGAUCUUGCUAUAUAUACAUAAAGAUUUACAUAAUGGAUUACAUAAUUUCACACGGCACUCUGCCAUUUGCCAGUUUAAAAUACAAUCAACUUUUUCAUCCAAUUUUUUCCCACCACAUCAUAUUACAUAAUCCAUUAUGUAUAUUUUUUAUGUACAAGUAGCAAAAUCCUAGAUUUAAUCUCUAUAAUAAAGCCACUUGGCCAUCUUAAAGGGUGAGGUGUAUAAGUAACAUUUUAUUGUUAUUUUGUAUGCAUUUAUCCAUAUAAACAUUUAGGGUGUCUUUGAUUACCUCUAUUUUCCAUGGAAGAUGUCAUUUUUUCACCCAAAUACUUACUAUUAGGGUGUUUUGUUGACAUUUUUUUCAUGGAAAAUAUUUUUCAAAAGUUGGUGACAUAUUUUCCUAAAAAAGCAAGGAAAACAUUUUUUUGGAGAGGAGUAGGUUUUUAUUUUUCAAAUAAUUCACUCUCUCUCUCUCUCUCUCUCUCAUUUACCUCCCUCUCGUCUACCCACCAAUAAAAAUUAAACAAGUAUAAUAUUUUUUUAGGUUGAAAUUUAAACCAAUUAAACACAUUUAAUUAAUGUUUUUCAUAUAAUAAAUUCUAAACAUUUCAAUUGUCUAGAACUUAUUUUUUUCUAUGCAAAUUUCAUACUUGCAAUCAAACACUCUGCUAGAGUAAUGCCACAUCACAUAAUUAUUUACAGAUUGUUGUAAUGAUUGAUGAAAUUAUAUUAAAAUUUAAGAAAAUGCUUGUUGUAUAUCACUCUUUACAUAAUUUUUAUAGAUUGAUGAGAUGGCAAAAAGAAAGUGAAAGAGUUUUAUCUUUUAUUAUUUUAUAUUUUUGGUUGACAAGAUUUUGACUCAAUCAAAUCUCACCACAUCAUCUGUUUGUUAACAAAUUUGUAAGUUGUGAUGUAUAUGUAGUACAAUUGUAAAAUUUAAUUGAUUUCCUUCUCACAUUUCCUCUCUCUUUGCCAAACUUAUUUUUUCCCUAUCUCUGUACACCAAUCUGUAAAUAAUUAUGUACAAGUAACAUUACUCAAACAUUUAUGAUGAGCAUCUAAUUAUCAUGAAGAUACAUACUCUACCUGUUCUGUUUGAUGGAUCUGUGCAUAGAUUGAUAGAUGUUUAUAUUUGUGUUAAUUCAGUGAUAAGAGUU